AAGAUAUCCUACAGAUAACAACUACUACGAUGUGUUAACGAACUUGACUACCUUUGAGGGUGUGUUGACGAGCUUGACUACCCUUGAAGGUGUAACGAGCUUGAAUAAUCCUUGAGGGUGUGUUGACGAGCUUGACUACCAUUGAGGGUGUGAUGACGAGCUUGACUACCCUUGAAGGUGUAACCAGCUUGAAUAAUCCUUGAGGGUGUGUUGACGAGCUUGACUACCAUUGAGGGUGUGUUGACGAGCUUGAAUACCCUUGAAGGUGUAACGAGCUUGAAUAAUCCUUGAGGGUGUAUUAACGAGCUUGACUAUACCCUUGAUGGUGUGUUGACGAGCUUGGCUGCCCUUGAGGGUGUGUUAACGAGUUUGACUACCCUCAAGUGUAUCUUGACG
This 396-nucleotide long non-coding RNA is filed under the name Mytilus galloprovincialis (Mediterranean mussel). The record is from RNAcentral. Lineage: Eukaryota; Metazoa; Mollusca; Bivalvia; Mytilida; Mytilidae.